AGGUUUCGGCCAAAUGAUAGGAAUGCUUAGUGGCGGACUGGUGAGUAACGCGUGAGGAACCUACCUUCCAGAGGGGGACAACAGUUGGAAACGACUGCUAAUACCGCAUGACGCAUGACCGGGGCAUCCCGGGCAUGUCAAAGAUUUUAUCGCUGGAAGAUGGCCUCGCGUCUGAUUAGCUAGAUGGUGGGGUAACGGCCCACCAAGGCGACGAUCGGUAGCCGGUCUGAGAGGAUGAACGGCCACAUUGGGACUGAGACACGGCCCAAACUCC
RNAcentral lists this ribosomal RNA (274 nucleotides) under uncultured bacterium. RNAcentral describes it as "partial 16S ribosomal RNA". It matches the Rfam family "Bacterial small subunit ribosomal RNA", at positions 61 to 339 of the family's 1533-position model. The record is from RNAcentral.